GCAGACUCCAAGGGUUUUAUAGCGUCCGGUAGCGACACGGAGCCGGCUCCCCCUUUUCCAGCCUUCCUCCCCAUCUCCCAUUCCCCGUCCCCCACGACCUAUACCAGAGGUCCUUAGGCCUCCACGUCUCUCCUUUUGCCGAGUAGCCCAAGGUUUCCACCCAUCUGCCAGGGGGAUGGCGUCCACUCUGAUGGGGAAUGAGGGCGAGAAGAAGAGCAGCUGGCCAUCUCAAGCUGCACCCUCCUUGAGAGGAGGUCCGGCUUCGUUGUCUCGUUCUGAGGAAUACCUGUCCCGGAUCAGUACAGAACUCAUGGAGGAGGCUUUGUGCACUGCUUGCUGCCACUUGAACCCUGUGCCCAUCAAAAAAAAGCAGUCACAAGACCAAGCGACUCAGAUAUCCAAACGCGCAUUCUUCACCAACACCUGAGGCACAGACACCUGCCCUCUCCCCUCUCUUCCACCAUCUCCUGCUCCGACAGAAACCGUACCUGCAGCAAGGCAUACCUCCUGCCAACUCCUGGUGAAAAGAACAUGCCUCAAAACUACUCUUUUGCCACUCGUUAACCACUUCCGUUUGUGGGGACCUCCUGGUCAUGAGCAGCAGCAUCCCGAAGCCUUCAAAGUGUUCUGGAUUCAUCACAGGACCCUCCAGCCUCAGCCAGCAAGGAUACCACCAGGAAUGAAAGUGCUUUAAUAAAGAGACAGGGUGUGCA
RNAcentral lists this small RNA (713 nucleotides) under Pan troglodytes (chimpanzee). RNAcentral's name for it is "transcribed unitary pseudogene". Lineage: Eukaryota; Metazoa; Chordata; Mammalia; Primates; Hominidae. The record is from RNAcentral.